AUUGAACGCUGGCGGCAUGCCUUACACAUGCAAGUCGAACGGCAGCACGGGUGCUUGCACCUGGUGGCGAGUGGCGAACGGGUGAGUAAUACAUCGGAACAUGUCCUGUAGUGGGGGAUAGCCCGGCGAAAGCCGGAUUAAUACCGCAUACGAUCUACGGAUGAAAGUGGGGGACCUUCGGGCCUCGCGCUAUAGGGUUGGCCGAUGGCUGAUUAGCUAGUUGGUGGGGUAAAGGCCUACCAAGGCGACGAUCAGUAGCUGGUCUGAGAGGACGACCAGCCACACUGGGACUGAGACACGGCCCCGACUCCUACGGGAGGCAGCAGUGGGGAAUUUUGGACAAUGGGCGAAAGCCUGAUCCAGCAAUGCCGCGUGUGUGAAGAAGGCCUUCGGGUUGUAAAGCACUUUUGUCCGGAAAGAAAUCCUUGGCCCUAAUACGGUCGGGGGAUGACGGUACCGGAAGAAUAAGCACCGGCUAACUACGUG
This 486-nucleotide ribosomal RNA is filed under the name uncultured bacterium. RNAcentral's name for it is "partial 16S ribosomal RNA". It matches the Rfam family "Bacterial small subunit ribosomal RNA", at positions 30 to 507 of the family's 1533-position model. The record is from RNAcentral.